RNAcentral lists this transfer RNA (73 nucleotides) under Cordylochernes scorpioides. RNAcentral's name for it is "tRNA-Thr". It matches the Rfam family "tRNA". From Rfam's summary of the family: Transfer RNA (tRNA) molecules are approximately 80 nucleotides in length. The record is from RNAcentral. Lineage: Eukaryota; Metazoa; Arthropoda; Arachnida; Pseudoscorpiones; Chernetidae.
UCCAGGGUAGCCUAGUGGACAUGGCAUCUGCCCGGUAAGCGUAACAUUGUGGGUUCGAUUCCCAUCCCUGGAC